Molecule: ribosomal RNA, 644 nt
Filed under: uncultured bacterium
Lineage: Bacteria
Description: bacterial SSU rRNA
Rfam family: Bacterial small subunit ribosomal RNA
Source: RNAcentral
AAUACCGCAUAAGCCUGCGGUGCCGCAUGGCACAGCAGGGAAAACCACGGUGGUACAGGAUGGGCCCGCGUCUGAUUAGUUAGUUGGCAGGGUAACGGCCUACCAAGACGAUGAUCAGUAGCCGGCUUGAGAGAGUGGACGGCCACAUUGGGACUGAGACACGGCCCAGACUCCUGCGGGAGGCAGCAGUGGGGAAUAUUGCACAAUGGGGGGAACCCUGAUGCAGCAAUGCCGCGUGGGUGAAGAAGCACUCCGGUGCGUAAAGCCCUGUCAGCAGGGAAGAAAAUGACAGUACCUGACCAAGAAGCCCCGGCUAACUACGUGCCAGCAGCCGCGGUAAUACGUAGGGGGCAAGCGUUAUCCGGAUUUACUGGGUGUAAAGGGAGCGCAGGUGGUAUGGCAAGUCAGAUGUGAAAACCCAGGGCUCAACCCUGGGACUGCAUUUGAAACUGCCAUACUGGAGUGCCGGAGAGGUAAGUGGAAUUCCUAGUGUAGCGGUGAAAUGCGUAGAUAUUAGGAGGAACACCAGUGGCGAAGGCGGCUUACUGGACGGUAACUGACGCUGAGGCUCGAAAGCGUGGGGAGCAAACAGGAUUAGAUACCCUGGUAGUCCACGCUGUAAACGAUGAAUACUAGGUGUCGGG